This 253-nucleotide ribosomal RNA is filed under the name uncultured bacterium. Its description in RNAcentral is "partial 16S ribosomal RNA". It matches the Rfam family "Archaeal small subunit ribosomal RNA", at positions 474 to 727 of the family's 1478-position model. The record is from RNAcentral.
UACCAGCACCCCGAGUGGUCGGGACGAUUAUUGGGCCUAAAGCAUCCGUAGCCGGUCGUGCAAGUCCUCCGUUAAAUCCAGCCGCUCAACGGAUGGGCUGCGGAGGAUACUACAGGACUAGGAGGCGGGAGAGGCAAGCGGUACUUAGUGGGUAGGGGUAAAAUCCUUUGAUCCAUUGAAGACCACCAGUGGCGAAGGCGGCUUGCCAGAACGCGCUCGACGGUGAGGGAUGAAAGCUGGGGGAGCAAACCGG